AUGAGAGGGGAUGGGGAGGAGGAGGCGUCGGCGCCGCUGCUGCAGGCGCGCGGCGGGGAGGAGGCGGAGGCGAAGGGGGGCCGCGGCCGGGGCGCGCGGGUGGCGCGGGAGUGGUGGGACGAGUCGAAGCGGCUGUGGCGGAUCGUGGGGCCGGCCAUCUUCCAGCGGGUGGCGCUGUACGGGAUCAACGUCGUCUCGCAGGCCUUCAUCGGCCACAUCGGCGACCUCGAGCUCGCCGCCUUCUCCAUCGCCUCCACCGUCAUCGCCGGCUUCAACUUCGGAUUCCUGCUGGGCAUGGCGAGCGCGCUGGAGACGCUGUGCGGGCAGGCGUUCGGGGCGAAGAAGCACCACAUGCUGGGCAUCUACCUGCAGCGCUCCUGGAUCGUGCUCUUCCUCUUCGCGCUGGCGCUCACGCCCACCUACGUCUUCACCGAGCACCUGCUGCUCCUUCUCGGCCAGACGCCGGAGCUGUCCCGCCUGGCGGGCAAGAUGAGCGUGUGGCUCAUCCCGCAGCACUUCGCCAUGGCCAUGCUGCUCCCGCUCACCCGCUUCCUGCAGAGCCAGCUCAAGAACUGGGUCACCGCCGCCACCGCCGGGGUCACGCUCGCGCUGCACGUCGUCGUCACCUACCUCCUCGUCACCCGCUUCCAGCUCGGCUACGCCGGCGUCGUCGUCGCCGCCGACGUCGCCUGGUGGGUCGUCGUGCUGGGACAGUUCUUCUAUGUGGUCUGCGGCGGGUGCCCGCUGUCGUGGAGGGGCUUCUCCGUGGAGGCCUUGGCCGACUUCUGGGAAUUCAUCAAGCUCUCCACGGCAUCCGGCGUCAUGCUCUGCAUGGAGAACUGGUACUACAGGGUGCUUGUGCUGCUUACGGGGUACCUGCCCAACGCUGAGAUCGCCGUGGAUGCCCUCUCCAUAUGCUUGACGAUCAACGGAUGGGAGAUGAUGAUCCCCCUAGGGUUCCUGGCAGCAACUGGCGUGCGGGUGGCAAACGAGCUCGGCGCGGGCAGCGGCAAGGGCGCGCGCUUCUCCAUCAUCGUCUCCAUCACCACCUCCGUGGUGAUCGGGCUCGUCUUCUGGUGCCUCAUCCUCACCUACAACGACCAGAUCGCGCUCCUCUUCUCGUCGGGGAAGGCCGUGCUCGACGCCGUGCACAACCUCUCCAUGCUGCUCGCCUUCACCAUCCUCCUCAACAGCGUGCAGCCCGUCCUCUCAGGGGUGGCUAUUGGUUCUGGAUGGCAAGCACUGGUCGCCUAUGUCAACAUCGGAUCCUACUACCUGGUCGGGGUGCCCAUCGGGAUCAUACUGGGCUGGCCACUCGGCUUCGGAGUUCGGGGAAUUUGGUCUGGGUUGAUUGGCGGGACUGCUGUUCAGACGCUGGUGUUAGUCUAUCUCACCAUGAGAUGUGACUGGGACGAUGAGGCCAAGACCACCAGUGCACGAAUGAGAAAAUGGGCCAGCACAAAAUGA
This 1467-nucleotide ribosomal RNA is filed under the name Triticum aestivum (bread wheat). RNAcentral's name for it is "partial small subunit ribosomal RNA". The record is from RNAcentral. Lineage: Eukaryota; Viridiplantae; Streptophyta; Magnoliopsida; Poales; Poaceae.